GACGAACGCUGGCGGCGUGCCUAAUACAUGCAAGUCGAACGAAGCUUUUCUGGUGCUUGCCCUAGGAGAACUUAGCGGCGCACGGGCGAGUCAUACGUACAGAAUCUCCCCCAUAGACUGGGACUACUAUUGGAAACGAUCGCUAAUCCAGGAUAACAGUAUUUCUCGCUUGGGCGGCAUUUAAAAGUUUGUUUUGCUAACAAUAUGAGAUGGCUUUGCGGUGCAUUAGCUAGUUCGUGGGGUAAAGGCCCCCCAAGGCGACUAUGCAUAGCCGACCUGAGAGGGUGAUCGGACACACGGUGACUGAGACACGGCACAGACGCCGGCAGGAAGCAGCAGUAGGGAAUCUUCCGCGAUGGAGGAGAGCCUGACGGAGCAACGCCGCGGGAGUAAAGAAGGAUUUCGGUUCGUAAAGCGCUGUUGUUAGGGAAGAAGGAAUGUGUAGUAAAUAGACAUGUAAAAGACGGUACCGAGCCAAAAAGCCACGGCUAACUACGUG
RNAcentral lists this ribosomal RNA (499 nucleotides) under uncultured bacterium. RNAcentral describes it as "partial 16S ribosomal RNA". It matches the Rfam family "Bacterial small subunit ribosomal RNA", at positions 28 to 507 of the family's 1533-position model. The record is from RNAcentral.